CAACAAAUUAAAUUCUCUCUUCCCCCAAUCCAUACUCUGUUACAAAUUCCUUCUCUUUUCUCGUUCCUAAUCAUCUCAUAAUUAAUUUCUUCUCUCAAUUGAUAUUGGACAAUGGAAUCGUCACUCUUCACUCCAAUUUUCCAGGAGAAUAUCACUGUACACUGUUAAAUAAAGUUUUCAUUGAGUUUACAAACUUUGUUGUAGUCAAGACUACUGGAAAAUGGUGAUGAUUAGUUGGAGAAAAUGGCAUUUAGAGUAACACAAGGUGGAAAAUCUCCAGGUGUAUAGAAGGCAUUGCUUGAAGUUAUCAACCCAUACAGGGGAACAAGUCUUCUUCAAAGAUGGAUGAUCAAGUGCUACUUUGACAGAUAUUCUCUCACUGGGAUGAAUAAUGUUAUUCAUACACCCAAUUGUUACACCAAUACUUACACCCAACAGUAUUUUACAGUAGUCACUAAAUUUAGUUAAUGCAGUGUAAAAACUUGGUUAAUGCAGUAAUAAAGUUGGUUAAUGCAACAUCCAGGUAUUAAAAAGAAUUUUCAGCAGACAUCAAACUUGGUUAAUGUAGUGUAAAAACUUGGUUAAUUAAGUAAUAAAGUUGGUUAAUGCAACA
This is a long non-coding RNA of Vicia villosa (hairy vetch), 613 nucleotides long. RefSeq lists it as uncharacterized. The record is from RefSeq and is a predicted model, not a curated record. NCBI's taxonomy places the organism in Eukaryota, Viridiplantae, Streptophyta, Magnoliopsida, Fabales, Fabaceae. The transcript is spliced from 4 exons.